UACUUUAACAUUAGCUGCUUUUCAAUGUCUUCUGAUCUCUAAAGCUAAGCAGGAGUGGGCCUGGUUAGUACUUGGAUGGGAGACCGCAGGGAAUUCCAGGUGCCACAGUGA
Molecule: ribosomal RNA, 111 nt
Filed under: Periophthalmus magnuspinnatus
Lineage: Eukaryota; Metazoa; Chordata; Actinopteri; Gobiiformes; Gobiidae
Source: RNAcentral